AGCUAAUGAUUUAAAAUGAAAUAACCAUGAAUGUUUUAAACUGAGGAGUUGAUUACAUUGUGAAUAUUGUUUGUUAUUGUAAUUAUAAAAUCAUGUGAUGCAGCUCAGAAUAUCUCAGGGAAACAUAGAGGACAAAUCUCUAAAUAAGACAUUCAG
This is a long non-coding RNA of Sander lucioperca (pikeperch), 156 nucleotides long. RefSeq lists it as uncharacterized. NCBI's taxonomy places the organism in Eukaryota, Metazoa, Chordata, Actinopteri, Perciformes, Percidae. The record is from RefSeq and is a predicted model, not a curated record. The transcript is spliced from 3 exons.